CCAAUAGCGUAUAUUAAAGUUGUUGCAGUUAAAAAGCUCGUAGUUGAAUUUCGGGGUCAGUAGGUUGGUCAUGCCACUGGUAUGUACUGGCCUCACUGAUUCCUCCUUCCUGAUGAGCCGUAAUGCCAUUAAUUUGGUGUUGCGAGGAAUCUGGACUGUUACUUUGAAAAAAUUAGAGUGUUUAAAGCAGGCUAACGCUUGAAUACAUUAGCAUGGAAUAAUGAAAUAGGACGUUCGAUCUUAUUUUGUUGGUUUCUAAGAUUGACGUAAUGAUUAAUAGGGAUAGUUGGGGGCAUUAGUAUUCAAUUGUCAGAGGUGAAAUUCUUGGAUUUAUUGAAGACUAACUACUGCGAAAGCAUUUGCCAAGGAUGUUUUCAUUAAUCAAGAACGAAAGUUAGGGGAUCGAAGACGAUCAGAUACCGUCGUAGUCUUAACCAUAAACUAUGCCGACUAGGGAUCGGAUGAUGUUAAUUUUUUAAUGACUCAUUCGGCACCUUACG
This 500-nucleotide ribosomal RNA is filed under the name uncultured Glomeromycotina. Its description in RNAcentral is "partial small subunit ribosomal RNA". It matches the Rfam family "Eukaryotic small subunit ribosomal RNA", at positions 591 to 1092 of the family's 1831-position model. The record is from RNAcentral. Lineage: Eukaryota; Fungi; Glomeromycota.